RNAcentral lists this ribosomal RNA (502 nucleotides) under uncultured bacterium. RNAcentral describes it as "partial 16S ribosomal RNA". It matches the Rfam family "Bacterial small subunit ribosomal RNA", at positions 30 to 523 of the family's 1533-position model. The record is from RNAcentral.
AUUGAACGCUGGCGGCAUGCCUUACACAUGCAAGUCGAACGGCAGCAUAGGAGCUUGCUCCUGAUGGCGAGUGGCGAACGGGUGAGUAAUAUAUCGGAACGUGCCCUAGAGUGGGGGAUAACUAGUCGAAAGACUAGCUAAUACCGCAUACGAUCUACGGAUGAAAGUGGGGGAUCGCAAGACCUCACGCUCCUGGAGAGGCCUAUAUCCGAUUAGCUAGUUGGUGGGGUAAAAGCCUACCAAGCCAACGAUCAGUAGCUGGUCUGAGAGGCCGACCAGCCACCCUGGGACUGAGACACGGCCCAGACUCCUACGGGAGGCAGCAGUGGGGAAUUUUGGACAAUGGGGGCAACCCUGAUCCAGCAAUGCCGCGUGAGUGAAGAAGGCCUUCGGGUUGUAAAGCUCUUUUGUCAGGGAAGAAACGGUAGUAGCGAAUAACUACUACUAAUGACGGUACCUGAAGAAUAAGCACCGGCUAACUACGUGCCAGCCGCCGCGGUAA